RNAcentral lists this ribosomal RNA (253 nucleotides) under uncultured bacterium. Its description in RNAcentral is "partial 16S ribosomal RNA". It matches the Rfam family "Bacterial small subunit ribosomal RNA", at positions 524 to 776 of the family's 1533-position model. The record is from RNAcentral.
UACGUAGGGUGCGAGCGUUAAUCGGAAUUACUGGGCGUAAAGCGUGCGCAGGCGGUUCGACCAGUCCGAUGUGAAAGCCCCGGGCUCAACCUGGGAAUGGCAUUGGAAACUGGCGAGCUUGAGUGUGGCAGAGGGGGGUGGAAUUCCGCGUGUAGCAGUGAAAUGCGUAGAGAUGUGGAAGAACACCGAUGGCGAAGGCAGCCCCCUGGGUCAACACUGACGCUCAUGCACGAAAGCGUGGGGAGCAAACAGG